CGGCUUGUAUUUAAAAGCUAAUCUGGAAGGAAGAAUUUGUUUAACAUUGUAAGCCAUCCCAGUCUUAAAACAAUAUGGAUGUGUACUAAGACCAAAAGCCAAAGAAAAGAAAAAAAACCAAAGGAAUUCAAAACCCUCCAAAUGUAAUCGUACUGAUUCUCAGCCUGAACACAAGCUUCCUUUAAGGGCACAGAGGAGAAGAAAAUGUAGCAAUAUUGGCUGAAUGCUUUCUGGACAGUUUGCACUAUUACUAAGCUGGGACACAUCAUUCUCUUGUACUUGAGGAUUCACACACUCCACUGCGGCUGUUUUAUUUCACUCCUCGCUCAGCACAAAGUACAAUGAAAGCCAGGAGAGGAGACUUGAGAUCUGCACACUGUCAGUGGUACAUAGUUCUGGCUGUUGUUUCCGUUUGAUGCCUUCAGUUUUAUCCGAGGAUUAUACAGGAU
This 449-nucleotide long non-coding RNA is filed under the name Pogona vitticeps (central bearded dragon). RNAcentral describes it as "lncRNA (ENSPVIG00000004464.1)". The record is from RNAcentral. Lineage: Eukaryota; Metazoa; Chordata; Lepidosauria; Squamata; Agamidae.